RNAcentral lists this ribosomal RNA (480 nucleotides) under uncultured bacterium. RNAcentral describes it as "bacterial SSU rRNA". It matches the Rfam family "Bacterial small subunit ribosomal RNA", at positions 28 to 507 of the family's 1533-position model. The record is from RNAcentral.
GAUGAACGCUAGCGGCAGGCUUAACACAUGCAAGUCGAACGGAGUUACGUAUGAAGUAUUUCGGUACGGACUAUGUAACUUAGUGGCGAACGGGUGAGUAACACGUGGGCAACCUGCCCUUAACCGGGGGAUAACAUUGUGAAAACAGUGCUAAUACCGCAUAACAGAGUAUCGGGCAUCCGAUAUUUUUAAAAGGAGCAAUCCGGUUUAGGAUGGGCCCGCGUCCAAUUAGCUAGUUGGUGAGGUAACGGCUCACCAAGGCUACGAUUGGUAGCCGAACUGAGAGGUUGAUCGGCCACAUUGGGACUGAGACACGGCCCAGACUCCUACGGGAGGCAGCAGUGGGGAAUAUUGGGCAAUGGGCGAAAGCCUGACCCAGCGACGCCGCGUGAAGGAUGAAGGUCUUCGGAUUGUAAACUUCUUUGAUCAGGGAAGAAAGAAAUGACGGUACCUGAAGAACAAGCCACGGCUAACUACGUG